This 562-nucleotide non-coding RNA is filed under the name Cryptosporidium parvum. Lineage: Eukaryota; Apicomplexa; Conoidasida; Eucoccidiorida; Cryptosporidiidae. The record is from RNAcentral.
CUCCGCAUCUCCUCUUAAUCAGGCCCAUCGACAAUCGACAAACCAGGAACAAAGCCUCGUGUUUUACGUAACCAUUAGGCGCCAACCAUGCAAAACAAAACGGCGCCAGACCCGCAUAUUACGGCAAGCUCAAGUAGAAUCGAGACCCUGUGUACAUUGACACAAAAGUAGAGCAAGAAUCUCAACGUGAUGGACCCGAUUUAGGCGACAGACACCGCGAUGUUCGGAAGGGCUUUAAGCCAUUCUUAGCUCGUUCGAACUUGUUAAUUUGUGAUGUGCCCCGAUCAAAGCACAGGAUUAGAAAAAUGACGCAACUUAAGCCUGACCCUUCUCGCAUUUGUCCUCUGGGAUGAGAGGUUGCUUCUCGUUUUGGUUUCCAUUCUCGGUUAGUGGGUUUUCAAAGGCAUCAGAACCAGUACCAACUGAGAGACGAGCUUGUUCCUUGAUGGUUUCUUCUUGUUUGGUGUUCUUUGGAGUGUUAUCCCAGAGCUUGGUGAGUGUGUAGAUGGCUGAACCAGUGAGUGUGAGGCAUGCACCGCCAACUGGAGCUGGCUUGAGCUUG